UACGUAGGGAGCAAGCGUUAUCCGGAUUUAUUGGGUGUAAAGGGUGCGUAGACGGGAAGGCAAGUUGGUUGUGAAAUCCCUCGGCUUAACUGAGGAACUGCAACCAAAACUAUCUUUCUUGAGUGCUGGAGAGGAAAGUGGAAUUCCUAGUGUAGCGGUGAAAUGCGUAGAUAUUAGGAGGAACACCAGUGGCGAAGGCGACUUUCUGGACAGUAACUGACGUUGAGGCACGAAAGUGUGGGGAUCAAACAGG
This 253-nucleotide ribosomal RNA is filed under the name uncultured bacterium. RNAcentral's name for it is "partial 16S ribosomal RNA". It matches the Rfam family "Bacterial small subunit ribosomal RNA", at positions 524 to 776 of the family's 1533-position model. The record is from RNAcentral.